GGGGAUGUGGCUCAGAGGUAGAGCGCACGCCUAGCAUGCGUGAGGCACUAAGUUCUAUCCUUAGCACCGCA
Molecule: transfer RNA, 71 nt
Filed under: Marmota monax (woodchuck)
Lineage: Eukaryota; Metazoa; Chordata; Mammalia; Rodentia; Sciuridae
Description: tRNA.Ala
Rfam family: tRNA
About the family: Transfer RNA (tRNA) molecules are approximately 80 nucleotides in length. Their secondary structure includes four short double-helical elements and three loops (D, anti-codon, and T loops). Further hydrogen bonds mediate the characteristic L-shaped molecular structure. tRNAs have two regions of fundamental functional importance: the anti-codon, which is responsible for specific mRNA codon recognition, and the 3' end, to which the tRNAs corresponding amino acid is attached (by aminoacyl-tRNA synthetases). tRNAs cope with the degeneracy of the genetic code in two manners: having more than one tRNA (with a specific anti-codon) for a particular amino acid; and 'wobble' base-pairing, i.e. permitting non-standard base-pairing at the 3rd anti-codon position.
Source: RNAcentral